AUUUAUAUAGUUUAAAUAAAACAUUACAUUUUCAUUGUAAAAAUAAAAUAAAUAAAUUUUUAUAAAUA
This 68-nucleotide transfer RNA is filed under the name Ficalbia minima. RNAcentral describes it as "tRNA-Glu". Lineage: Eukaryota; Metazoa; Arthropoda; Insecta; Diptera; Culicidae. The record is from RNAcentral. RNAcentral also lists the same sequence under 2 other names.